GCGCGCCCCCGCACGCCCCGCCCUGCGUGCGCGCCCCACACGGCGCGCACGUCCCCGAAGCCCGGGCCGCGGGGCUGGGGGACCGGAAGCCCGGCCGCCCCGCGGCCUCCGGAUGCAGCCGUCUGGAGCGCCGUCCUGCUGCCCCCGCCCUUCCUUUCUCGUGCUCCCGGCCGGCGGGCUCCUCUUUCCCCAAGUUUCCGCGUCUGGGAAAUGGGGGUAAUGGCCGGGGGGUCGGCCCGUUCCCGGCUGGGUGACUUCGGGCAGGUUCACACUUCGAAGUGCACACUUGCGUGAAAAACGAUGGUUGUGGGAGGUCAGCGCAUGUGUGCGUUCACGUUAGCGGUCAACAAACGAUUCAGGAUUCUGAGCUCUGCUUUUCUUCGUUGGAAGAGGAGUCGGUAUUCACACCGCCCUGCAUGAAGCCUGUCCUGUCAGAAAAGAAGGUGAUGUGACCACAGAGCUGACACAUUUCAAGAUGCUGGCAUUAAAAACCAGAGCGAUGCAGCCACAAACCAAGCAGAAACAGCCAACACCGGAAGCUUGAAGAGUCAGGGAACAGUGUCUCCCCUGGAGCCCCCAGAAGGAGUGCAGCCCUGUCAACACCUUACUUUGCCCCAGUGAUACUGAUUUUGGACUCCGGGCCCCCAGAACUGAGAGAAUACAUUUCUGUUUGUUUGAAGCCACCAAGUCUGUGGUAAUUUGCCACAAGAGCUUUAGGAGACCAGUCUACCAUGUAGAACCAGCCACGUGCCCCCGUCUGUCUGGCUCAGUUUCUUCACCUGUAAAAUGGAGAACAAAUGGGACACACUUCACAAGGCUGUUUUGAGCGCCACAGUUAUAAUUCCGUUGUGGAAAGUUUCGUCUGAAGGGCUCGGAAUUGUGUGGCAGGAAGUAAGCGCUCACUGAUGGCUCUCAACUGUCAUCGAGGUGAAGAAGUCAGGAAGGAUCUGCAUUAAAUGACGUCAUUAUCUUGGGCGGUGACGGUGGAUCAUGGAGGACAGUCCUGCCCUACUUCUAUUUGUCUAAAUUCUGGACCCGAUGCUAGUGCCUGUCCAAGGGCUGUAACUGGAAAUCCCCUACAGGCCACUCCCAACCUACGCUGCCCUCAAGGACUGGAGCAGGAGGAACCGCAACACCGGAUCUUACGGCCCUCACGCUCGGAUAGUAGUAGGUCCAAAUUGCUCUUGUCACGUAGGACAGCCACAUGCAGUUGCCCAAAGGAGCUCAGCCCUGGGUCUGGCGCUUCCUGCGCACUGCUCACACUCGAACCCCUCCUUUCCAGGGGCGGCCACACCAUUGGCAGCAGUGAAGGCACCUCCCCCGGGGACGGAACGGUCCGAUCAGACAUCUACAGGAAGUUUCUUUACUGUCUCCCUGCAGACACCAUACACUUCACAGGGAAACAGCCUCCCCCAGAUGGAGAGCCUGGAUCACCGACUGCUCCUUUCCUUUGUGGCUGGGAAUUAACUGGGCACGAAGGUACUUUGUUGUCACCAUGAAGUGCUGACACUUUGUCACCUCUUUACAAAAACGACCACUGCAGAAGGCACGGUGAGUAGCCGAGACUCAACAUGGGUAGCAGCAACCGCACACCCCCGGGGCACUCUGGGUGUCUGCUACUCAUAACUGAAUAAACGCAGCCUUUCUGGACCUUCAGAUUAGGUCCCAUCCAGACAAACAACUGUAAAACCUAAAACAACAAAGUUUAAUACAACUGUAAGAAUUUUCUCAAAUUUUUGAACUGAGAACAAUUUAUACAUUCAGCUAAUUGGAGGAAAAAAACCCAGGACUGACUAAUUCUUGAGGCAAACCUGAGAACAUUUUCUUAAACUUCUGGCUCUUGAUCGUUUUAGUUGACAAGAUGACAGUGGAAAAUGUUGCAAAAUUUAUGGGAAAAACUAAAAAAGCUAUCCAUCUGGUUUAGAUUGAAAAGCUAAAACCUCAUCUCACUUAGCUAUAUGAAACUUGUCUUUUGCUCACUUUUCAUAGAAAGCCAGCACUGAAAUAAAAUGAAAAUGGAACUGGCAAAGAAUAUUUAUUUAGCUGACAAAACCAAACUGUGUCCACCCUGAUUAUCAAGAUCUGUUUCAACUUGUUGGGUGCAUCCUCCACACUAAUAAAGUUAUUUAUUUCCCAUCCUGCUAAAAUAGACCUCCUUAAAUAUAUUUUAAUUUUUUGAGAUGUGGAGUCUUGCACAAAUCCUAUAGACUUCCCAGGAGUAGCAUUUCCCAUUUGUAUCAAGAAACCAACCAAACCCAAGCUACACGGUAUUCUGAGUUCUGAGCCAGGAGAGCAAUUUGACACCAUCUUAAAAAUAUGAAGACCUCUCAAGACAGCAAUAUUACUUCUAGCCCAAAAUUAAGGGGUAUACAAAGAUUUAAUUAGAGACACUCACUGCAAUGUUGUUCUUGAAACUGGCAGCUGUCUAAAUGGUUAAAGCAGGGACUAAUCAAACUAUAGCACAUACGUAAGAUAGAAAAUCAUGUGAGCAUGACAAAUAAUAUUGCAGAAAUACAAUUACUGACAUAGAAUGACAGCCAUGCUACUUUCGUUAGGCAAAACAGCAAAUGAUAAAACAGCAUGUUUAUAAGACUAGAAGGAUACUAACCGCAUAUGUCUGGGUGUUAGGUUUAGGUUUUUUCUUAAUCUGUACUUUCUAUUAUUUAAAAAAAAAAAACACAUUUUGUUUUAAUAACAAAAAAAAAAAAGAAAGAAAGAAAAAAGAAAAAAGAAAUUACCUAUUGCUCUACAAAGUUGAGCACAGAUGGCUG
Felis catus (domestic cat) is the source of this 2771-nucleotide long non-coding RNA. RefSeq lists it as uncharacterized. The record is from RefSeq and is a predicted model, not a curated record. NCBI's taxonomy places the organism in Eukaryota, Metazoa, Chordata, Mammalia, Carnivora, Felidae. The transcript has 4 exons.